This 500-nucleotide ribosomal RNA is filed under the name uncultured bacterium. RNAcentral's name for it is "bacterial SSU rRNA". It matches the Rfam family "Bacterial small subunit ribosomal RNA", at positions 28 to 524 of the family's 1533-position model. The record is from RNAcentral.
GAUGAACGCUAGCGGCAGGCUUAAUACAUGCAAGUCGAGGGGCAGCACGGUUAGCAAUAACUGGUGGCGACCGGCGCACGGGUGCGUAACACGUAUACAAUCUACCUUAAACAGGGGGAUAGCCUUUCGAAAGAGAGAUUAAUACCCCGUAAUAAAUUGAACGGCAUCGUUUGAUUUUGAAAGCUCCGGCGGUUUGAGAUGAGUAUGCGUCUGAUUAGCUAGUUGGUGAGGUAACGGCUCACCAAGGCGACGAUCAGUAGGGGAUCUGAGAGGACUAACCCCCACACUGGUACUGAGACACGGACCAGACUCCUACGGGAGGCAGCAGUAAGGAAUAUUGGUCAAUGGAGGCAACUCUGAACCAGCCAUGCCGCGUGCAGGAUGACGGCCCUAUGGGUUGUAAACUGCUUUUAUACAAGAGAAAACCCUGGUACAUGUACCAGGUUGAUAGUAUUGUAAGAAUAAGCAUCGGCUAACUUCGUGCCAGCAGCCGCGGUAAU